GAUGAACGCUGGCGGCGUGCCUAACACAUGCAAGUCGAGCGAAAACACGAGGCGCUUUCUCCUCUGACGUUCGAGUCGGACGGGGGUGUGACAUGUGGAGAACCUACCUAUAUGAAUGGGAUAACUUAGUGAAAACGGAGCCUAUAACCGCAUAUCUAUUCAACCGCAUGGUUCAAUAGUGAAAGACGGCUUUCCAUUCACUUAUAGCUGAUUCCGUACCGUAUUAGCUAGUGGGUGAGGUAACGGCUUACCAAGGCAACGAUUCGUAGCCGACCUGAGAGGGUGAUCGGCCACACUGGAACUGAGACACGGUCCAGACUCCUACGGGAGGCAGCAGUGGGGAAUCUUCCGCAAUGGGCGAAAGCCUGACGGAGCAAUGCCGCGUGAAUGAUGAAGGUCUUCGGAUCGUAAAGCUCUGUUAGUAGGGAGGAAGAAAUGAGUAAGUAACUAUGCGCGUCUUGACGGUACCUGAUCAAGAAGCCACGGCUAACUACGUG
RNAcentral lists this ribosomal RNA (497 nucleotides) under uncultured bacterium. RNAcentral's name for it is "partial 16S ribosomal RNA". It matches the Rfam family "Bacterial small subunit ribosomal RNA", at positions 28 to 507 of the family's 1533-position model. The record is from RNAcentral.